GGGCCCGUAGCUCAACCUGGACAGAGCAGCGCUCUCCUAAGGCGAAGGUUGUGAGUUCAAAUCUCACCGGGCCCG
This 75-nucleotide transfer RNA is filed under the name Microcaldota archaeon. Its description in RNAcentral is "tRNA-Arg". It matches the Rfam family "tRNA". Rfam says of the family: Transfer RNA (tRNA) molecules are approximately 80 nucleotides in length. Their secondary structure includes four short double-helical elements and three loops (D, anti-codon, and T loops). Lineage: Archaea; Nanobdellati; Microcaldota. The record is from RNAcentral.